Molecule: non-coding RNA, 207 nt
Organism: Cinara cedri
Lineage: Eukaryota; Metazoa; Arthropoda; Insecta; Hemiptera; Aphididae
Source: the annotation of a GenBank genome assembly
AAUACCCUAACGGCUGUUACAUUAUUGAGGUAGUAACUACACGGUGUUAUUGGCGAGUUUCUCGCCGUCGACGAAAAUAUUCUACAAUACAUUGUCUAUGUUUUACAGCUACAAUAUGAUAUUUUAUUGUUAAGAACGUUCGUAUAUCAUAUUGUUGAAAUACAAAUACAUACGCGCACCGCCGCCGAUGUGGUUUCAGACGAUUUU